UUCUAGAAUCUACCAUGAAAUGGCUAAUGCAUCUGCAGCAUAGAAUUAGAUUUAGUUAAGGACUUAAAAUUACUAGAUCUUAAAUCUAAAUCUACUACCUUUUAACUUUUAGGGCAGAAUAUUAGAUCUAGUCUAUAUGCCUAUCUAGUCACGUAACUGUAAACUAAUACUUAGACUUAGGACUUUGGACACUUUGAGUUGAAGAUAUCUACUUGGUAGUCUAAACCUCAAAGGAGCUUAGGGAAGUGAUGGCAGUUGCAGGGUAUGAACCAGACGACCAUGCAGAGACCAACGAGGCGACCAAACAGUCCAUCGUGCAUACCACAUAACCAGGUCCAGAAUGCCAGUUUUCUUUAAGGGCAGCUGACAAUAAGAAUUGUCUAUGUAUGCACUACAGAUGCUGUUCAAUAUCUUUUCAUGAGGAAGCCUGCUCAAAAAGAUCGCCACAUUUUCUUUAGGGGAAGUUGACAUUAAUCUUUUAGGUUAAUAAUAACCUAUGCAUGCAGUACAGAUGCUGUUCAUCAUCUUUUCCUAAGCAAGCCUGCUUAAGAAGCUGCUGCAUGGAAGUCAAAAUAUGAAUUAUUGCCACCAGUCUUGAAGUCAGCUUGUAAAGAAUGCUAAGAAUUGAAUGAAAAUGCUGUCUUGAUAUCUUGUUUGUGCUGUUAUAUUUGUCUUUUGUGUUGGUUAAUUAUUCCAUGAAUAAAAAAUAAAAAAAAGUUAAUUGUGUAAGUUUGAUUUAAGAAUAAAUGAUCAGAGCAUGCAAGUCUUAUAUAGUACGUUACCAAAAAUUGUAUUGUUUGAUAGUGUUCAAACCCAAAAAUGUAAUUUAACUUGUCCAUUACUUUAUAAAUAUGUUGACAUUAUAGCUAGAUGUAUAUAGAAAUCAUGCACUGAUUCAAUUAUU
Long non-coding RNA from Biomphalaria glabrata, 904 nucleotides. RefSeq lists it as uncharacterized. NCBI's taxonomy places the organism in Eukaryota, Metazoa, Mollusca, Gastropoda, Planorbidae. The record is from RefSeq and is a predicted model, not a curated record. The transcript has 5 exons.